GAGUUUGAUCGUGGCUCAGAUUGAACGCUGGCGGCAUGCCUUACACAUGCAAGUCGAACGGCAGCAUGGUCUAGCUUGCUAGAUUGAUGGCGAGUGGCGAACGGGUGAGUAAUACAUCGGGAACGUGCCCUGUAGUGGGGGAUAACUAGUCGAAAGAUUAGCUAAUACCGCAUACGACCUGAGGGUGAAAGUGGGGGACCGCAAGGCCUCAUGCUAUAGGAGCGGCCGAUGUCUGAUUAGCUAGUUGGUGGGUAAAGGCCCACCAAGGCGACGAUCAGUAGCUGGUCUGAGAGGACGAUCAGCCACACUGGGACUGAGACACGGCCCAGACUCCUACGGGAGGCAGCAGUGGGGAAUUUUGGACAAUGGGCGAAAGCCUGAUCCAGCAAUGCCGCGUGUGUG
Molecule: ribosomal RNA, 402 nt
Filed under: uncultured microorganism
Description: bacterial SSU rRNA
Rfam family: Bacterial small subunit ribosomal RNA
Source: RNAcentral